RNAcentral lists this ribosomal RNA (421 nucleotides) under uncultured bacterium. RNAcentral's name for it is "bacterial SSU rRNA". It matches the Rfam family "Bacterial small subunit ribosomal RNA", at positions 355 to 774 of the family's 1533-position model. The record is from RNAcentral.
UAAGGAAUAUUGGUCAAUGGACGCAAGUCUGAACCAGCCAUGCCGCGUGAAGGAUGAAGGUCCUCUGGAUUGUAAACUUCUUUUAUCUGGGACGAAAACGGGAUUUUUAUCUCAAUUGACGGUACCAGAGGAAUAAGCACCGGCUAACUCCGUGCCAGCAGCCGCGGUAAUACGGAGGGUGCGAGCGUUAUCCGGAUUUACUGGGUUUAAAGGGUGUGUAGGUGGGCUUAUAAGUCAGUGGUGAAAUCUCCGAGCUUAACUUGGAAACUGCCGUUGAUACUAUAGCUCUUGAAUUAUCUGGAGGUAAGCGGAAUAUGUCAUGUAGCGGUGAAAUGCUUAGAUAUGACAUAGAACACCAAUUGCGAAGGCAGCUUACUACAUAUAAAUUGACGCUGAGGCACGAAAGCGUGGGGAUCAAACA